This 388-nucleotide ribosomal RNA is filed under the name uncultured bacterium. RNAcentral describes it as "bacterial SSU rRNA". It matches the Rfam family "Bacterial small subunit ribosomal RNA", at positions 28 to 415 of the family's 1533-position model. The record is from RNAcentral.
GAUGAACGCUAGCGGCAGGCUUAAUACAUGCAAGUCGAGGGGCAGCAUAAGUAGCAAUACUUGAUGGCGACCGGCAAACGGGUGCGGAACACGUACGCAACCUUCCUUUAAGUGGGGAAUAGCCCGGGGAAACCCGGAUUAAUACCCCGUAAUAUUAUGAUGUGGCAUCACAUUAUAAUUAUAGAUUCAUCGCUUAAAGAUGGGCGUGCGCCUGAUUAGGUAGUUGGCGGAGUAANAGCCCACCAAGCCUGCGAUCAGUAACUGGUGUGAGAGCACGACCAGUCACACGGGCACUGAGACACGGGCCCGACUCCUACGGGAGCAGCAGUAAGGAUAUUGGUCAAUGGACGCAAGUCUGAACCAGCCAUGCCGCGUGGAGGAUGAAGGU